UACGUAGGGUCCGAGCGUUGCCCGGAGUUACUGGGCGUAAAGCGCGCGCAGGCGGCGGUGUUGGCCCGGCGUGAAAGCCCCCGGCUCAACCGGGGAGAGUCGUCGGGGACCGCACCGCUUGAGGGCGGUAGGGGCUGGUGGAAUGCCUGGUGUAGUGGUGAAAUGCGUAGAGAUCAGGCAGAACACCUGGGGCGAAGGCGGCCAGCUGGGCCGUCCCUGACGCUGAGGCGCGAAGGCGUGGGGAGCGAACGGG
This 253-nucleotide ribosomal RNA is filed under the name uncultured bacterium. RNAcentral's name for it is "partial 16S ribosomal RNA". It matches the Rfam family "Bacterial small subunit ribosomal RNA", at positions 524 to 776 of the family's 1533-position model. The record is from RNAcentral.